Molecule: ribosomal RNA, 468 nt
Filed under: uncultured bacterium
Lineage: Bacteria
Description: partial 16S ribosomal RNA
Rfam family: Bacterial small subunit ribosomal RNA
Source: RNAcentral
GACGAACGCUGGCGGCGUGCUUAACACAUGCAAGUCGAACGGAAGGGCCCUGCUUUUGUGGGGUGCUCGAGUGGCGAACGGGUGAGUAACACGUGAGUAACCUGCCCUUGACUUUGGGAUAACUUCAGGAAACUGGGGCUAAUACCGGAUAGGAGCUCCUGCUGCAUGGUGGGGGUUGGAAAGUUUCGGCGGUUGGGGAUGGACUCGCGGCUUAUCAGCUUGUUGGUGGGGUAGUGGCUUACCAAGGCCUUGACGGGUAGCCGGCCUGAGAGGGUGACCGGCCACAUUGGGACUGAGAUACGGCCCAGACGCCUACGGGAGGCAGCAGUGGGGAAUAUUGCACAAUGGGCGGAAGCCUGAUGCAGCAACGCCGCGUGCGGGAUGACGGCCUUCGGGUUGUAAACCGCUUUCGCCUGUGACGAAGCGUGAGUGACGGUAAUGGGUAAAGAAGCACCGGCUAACUACGUG